This 468-nucleotide ribosomal RNA is filed under the name uncultured bacterium. Its description in RNAcentral is "partial 16S ribosomal RNA". It matches the Rfam family "Bacterial small subunit ribosomal RNA", at positions 28 to 507 of the family's 1533-position model. The record is from RNAcentral.
GAUGAACGCUGGCGGCGUGCUUAACACAUGCAAGUCGAACGGAAAGGCCCAAGCUUGCUUGGGUACUCGAGUGGCGAACGGGUGAGUAACACGUGGGUGAUCUGCCCUGCACUUCGGGAUAAGCCUGGGAAACUGGGUCUAAUACCGGAUAGGACGAUGGUUUGGAUGCCAUUGUGGAAAGUUUUUUCGGUGUGGGAUGAGCUCGCGGCCUAUCAGCUUGUUGGUGGGGUAAUGGCCUACCAAGGCGUCGACGGGUAGCCGGCCUGAGAGGGUGUACGGCCACAUUGGGACUGAGAUACGGCCCAGACUCCGACGGGAGGCAGCAAUGGGGAAUAUUGCACAAUGGGCGCAAGCCUGAUGCAGCGACGCCGCGUGGGGGAUGACGGCCUUCGGGUUGUAAACUCCUUUCGCUAGGGACGAAGCGUUUUUGUGACGGUACCUGGAGAAGAAGCACCGGCUAACUACGUG